RNA transcript from Bombyx mandarina (wild silkworm), 1924 nucleotides. RefSeq lists it as uncharacterized. Lineage: Eukaryota; Metazoa; Arthropoda; Insecta; Lepidoptera; Bombycidae. The record is from RefSeq and is a predicted model, not a curated record.
UUAGGGCGGAGAGCACGUGUCGUGUCGCGAGCUAUAAGGCAUUUUUCGCCGCCCGGUUUUCCCAAUAAAUGGUAUCGUAUUAUAUUCGAUUGAAAUAUUAGAAUAAACGUUAACAAGUUUCUAGACGAAUGUGAAUAUAUCGGAAGCCUACAAGUGACCAAGGUAACCCUAAAGUGUCAGUGUCUGUGAGUGUGUAAUGUCAAAGUGACAAGUGACGUGAGUUGACGUGAUAGCCGCGUCAUGGAGCCGGUGCCUUUGCCCCUCGAGGACGAGGAGCGCCCGCCGCAGGGCUCCUCCACCGGCAGCGGUUCUUCAUCGGGAACCGGAUAUUACGGACAUAAAAAUGGUGUGACGACAAGGAGUGAAGAAAUAUUAGGUGAAUGGAGAGGCGAUAGGAGAAUGCUGGACAUCACGCGAGACAAGCCCGUCAAGGUCUGCGUGCGAGUCGUGGUUCCAGUGAGGGAUCACCCUAAAUUUAAUUUCGUGGGGAAACUUCUGGGGCCCAAAGGAAACUCGUUGAAGAGACUUCAGGAAGACACAAUGUGCAAGAUGGCGGUGUUGGGUAGAGGAUCAAUGAAAGACAGACAAAAGGAGGAGGAGCUUCGUGUCUCCGGAGAUCCGAAGUUCGCGCAUUUAUCAGACGAACUCCACGUUGAGAUCAGUGCGUUCGCGACACCAGCCGAAGCCCACGCCAGGAUCGCGUAUGCUUUGGCCGAGCUACGAAGGUUUUUGGUACCCGACUACAAUGACGAUAUACGACAAGAGCAAAUGCUGGAGAUGCAGAUCUUGUCCUCACAGAAUGACCAGAGGCAUCUCACUCCACCAAACUCUUCCAGGAGCGGCAGCGAGGAAACCCUGCCUCUGAGAGACACUGGCAACAAGCCUAGGCUGCCUACAGUUCAGCCGUCACCGGCUCCGACGGCCAUGCCCAGCGCCAUCGCAGUCAGCCACGCGCCCACCAGCCGCGACUUCUCCCCUCCAGCUCCCACACCGGCUCCUGAACAUCUGGCUGCUCAUCACCAGUUGGCGGCCGGGCACACUGGUCACGGGAUGCUGGUCGGCGGAGGCAUGAUACAGCAGCCCCCUCAUCAUUUGAUCACCCAAAAUUCUAUACUCGGUACAGGCGACAUCCUGGGCUUGAGCAGUCCCGUGCUUGGUGGAGUGCUACACGCGCACCCAGCACUGCGUGGGGUGAAGCCUGCAGCAGUCCACGCUCUGGCGACGCAAGGUCGGUGCGGGUGGGUCGGCGGGUACCAGCACGGCACGCAAGCGUCCCCUGCUGGGCGGAGCGCGGGCCGCAAUGUCUCCGACUAAACGGGCCGUGAUGACCCUGCUCGCGAGGGCUAGGGCUGCCACGCACAAGCACGCAACCACAUGGCCUGCGCCACACGAGCACACGGCUUUACUACCAUUGAUAAGGGACGACUUCGUCGCUGGCGUUGGUGUCAACAUUAAUUUAGCGUAACUCAAUGUCUAGUCAAACUGUAACCCUAACUAAUGCAACAUUAGAUCUUUUUUGCAAUGAAUGUCUCGGAGAUAUUUUCCAAUUGUUAUUUUUUUUGGUUAAAAGAAAAUUUUGUUUGACCAAUUGACCUUUAAGAAAGGGGUGUUUCAAUCGGCAAGGACUCUGACAUUCUUUAGUUUAGCUAAAGAAUGAUGUCGUGGCGUGCAACCUCUUUGACAGGACAUAAGACCGACAAUGACUAGACAUAGACACAGACUAAGACAGAGAUUUGAAAAGAAUUCGAAAAGAAAUGGAACUAGGGCGUACGUGACCGGCGGCACGGCAGCACAUUAUUUGACGUCCUUAAAGAAAGACGCAAAAAGACGAAAAAGAACGAAUUGACCGUUCUAAUAUAAGACGGCAAUAGAACAAACGACCGUUCAACUGACCUUCGACCGUUCAACGGACCUUCAACCGUUC